Long non-coding RNA from Eriocheir sinensis (Chinese mitten crab), 945 nucleotides. RefSeq lists it as uncharacterized. The transcript is spliced from 3 exons. The record is from RefSeq and is a predicted model, not a curated record. Lineage: Eukaryota; Metazoa; Arthropoda; Malacostraca; Decapoda; Varunidae.
GGAAGGUUGAUGGACUUAGUAUGAUUUGGGGGGCAUAAGAGAACUGUUUCCAAGCUAAAAAUGUUGUGUUUGAGAGCUAGGAAAAGGUAUCUAUGGUAUGAUUAGGGGGCAUAAGAGUCCCAUUUCCGAGCUAAAAAUGUUGUGUUUGAGAGCUAGGAAAAGGUAUCUAUGGUAUGAUUAGGGGGCAUAAGAGUCCCGUUUCCAAGCUAAAAAUGUUGUGUUUGAGAGCUAGGAAAAGGUAUCUAUGGUAUGAUUAGGGGGCAUAAGAGUCCCAUUUCCGAGCUAAAAAUGUUGUGUUUGAGAGCUAGGAAAAGGUAUCUAUGGCUCUUUCUGUUUCAUAUUGUAGAAGUGUUAGAAAUAGAGGAAGAAGGACAGCAAUGAUUUGGAGGGCAUAAGAGAACUGUUUCCAAGCUAAAAAUGUUGUGUUUGAGAGCUAGGAAAAGGUAUCUAUGGCUCUUUCUGUUUCAUAUUGUAGAAGUGUUAGAAAUAGAGGAAGAAGGACAGCAAUGAUUUGGGGGGCAUAAGAGAACUGUUUCCAAGCUAAAAAUGUUGUGUUUGAGAGCUAGGAAAAGGUAUCUAUGGCUCUUUCUGUUUCAUAUUGUAGAAGUGUUAGAAAUAGAGGAAGAAGGACAGCAAUAAUUUGGAGGGCAUAAGAGAACUGUUUCCAAGCUAAAAAUGAUGUGUUUGAGAGCUAGGAAAAGGCAUCUAUGGCUCUUUCUGUUUCAUAUUGUAGAAGUGUUAUUAUAGAAGUGUUAGAAAUAGAGUAAGAAGGAUCAGCACUGGUUCGAGGAGGAUCAUUGCAAGGAAAUAAAAGUUAAGUGAAUAAUAUAACAUAGAGGGACUGUACACAAAGAUGAAGAACAAGACCUAAGCAAACAACUAAUAAAAUAACAAAUAAAAAUCUGCAAUAAACAACAGCAACAACUCCCCCGCCCACCACCGCUG